AUAAGAUACCUACUGAGUGCACCAUAUGACAGGGUCUGUCUUAGGCACCAAGGAUAAUACAUCACAGAGCAAGCUGCAGGACUGAUUGCUUUCAUUAACCCAAGUGAGAGACAGAAGCAGGAAGGACAGCUGUGGGAAGCACAUUAAGGUUAGAAAUGGCCAGGAGUUACGUUGUUACAUUGGAGGCUGUAAGAAAUGGCCAGGCGUUACAUUGUUACAUUACAUGCUGUAAGAAAUGGCCAGGUGUUACAUUGUUACAUUGGAGGCUGUAAGAAAUGGCCAGGUGUUACAUUGUUACAUUGGAGGCUGUAAGAAAUGGCCAGGUGUUAUGUUGUUGCAUUGGACUUGGGUGCUGUAGGCUGAGGAAGCACUAAAGGCAGUGGGUGUGGUGCGGGACAGAGGACUGGAACUGACUUCUGAGAUGCAGGGGCUCCUUGGUCUUUAGCAUUUAGAUGCAGUUGGCAUUCCCAUCUCCGGUAAUCUUCAGAUGCCGAUUUUCUCAGGCUCCUUUUUCCCUUGUGGUAGGGAGAACUUGGUCUUCUUUGGUCUUUUUGUCUUUCACUCUAAAUUCUUGUGUUCUUCUCCUCAUCUUUGGUUUUUAUCCUCUUGUCUAUAGUCAUCUUGUGAUUUUUGGUACAAACCCACAUGAAAAUCAAGAAGCCUGUCUCCAAGACAACCAUUGGCAGGUCAGGAAAGAACUGGGAAUGCAGGGGAGCAAGCUCAGGCUUAGGCACGGAGGCGCUAACGCUGCCCUUCCAUCAAAUCCUUGUAAAAUUGUUUGUCAAACUUCAUUAAAAGAGCCUUUACUGGGAAAGCAGGUAUAUACCAGGAAGCAAGUGUCAUUAUUUAAACCUUCCCCUGUUUGUUCCUCUUUUCCAGUUUCAAUGGAUGCCUAUUAAAUGUGUAUAUAUCUAACUUUCAAAUUUCAAAUGGCAUUUUAAAGACAGAUUUACUGUUCAGAUUGAAUUUUAUUGUAUUGUAAUUAUGGGUUU
This is a long non-coding RNA of Alexandromys fortis (reed vole), 992 nucleotides long. RefSeq lists it as uncharacterized. The record is from RefSeq and is a predicted model, not a curated record. The transcript is spliced from 3 exons. NCBI's taxonomy places the organism in Eukaryota, Metazoa, Chordata, Mammalia, Rodentia, Cricetidae.